This 579-nucleotide ribosomal RNA is filed under the name uncultured bacterium. RNAcentral's name for it is "bacterial SSU rRNA". It matches the Rfam family "Bacterial small subunit ribosomal RNA", at positions 338 to 916 of the family's 1533-position model. The record is from RNAcentral.
CCUACGGGAGGCAGCAGUGAGGAAUAUUGGACAAUGGUCGGAAGACUGAUCCAGCCAUGCCGCGUGCAGGAUGAAGGUCUUAUGGAUUGUAAACUGCUUUUGUAAGGGAAGAAUAAGGGCUACGCGUAGUUUGAUGACGGUACCUUACGAAUAAGCAUCGGCUAACUCCGUGCCAGCAGCCGCGGUAAUACGGAGGAUGCGAGCGUUAUCCGGAAUCAUUGGGUUUAAAGGGUCUGUAGGCGGGCUGGUAAGUCAGAGGUGGAAGCGCUCAGCUCAACUGAGCAACUGCCUUUGAAACUGUUGGUCUUGAAUGGUUGUGAAGUAGUUGGAAUGUGUAGUGUAGCGGUGAAAUGCUUAGAUAUUACGAAGAACUCCGAUUGCGAAGGCAGCUUGCGGGAGCACAACUGACGCUGAAGCUCGAAAGUGCGGGUAUCGAACAGGAUUAGAUACCCUGGUAGUCCGCACGGUAAACGAUGGAUGCCCGUUGUCAGGCUGUUUCAGCCUGGUGACCAAGCGAAAGCAUUAAGCAUCCCACCUGGGGAGUACGCCGGCAACGGUGAAACUCAAAGGAAUUGACGG